This is a long non-coding RNA of Panicum virgatum (switchgrass), 2225 nucleotides long. RefSeq lists it as uncharacterized. The transcript has 5 exons. The record is from RefSeq and is a predicted model, not a curated record. NCBI's taxonomy places the organism in Eukaryota, Viridiplantae, Streptophyta, Magnoliopsida, Poales, Poaceae.
UUCCUUCUUCUCUCUCGGUUCGUUCGCCUGCGCCCGAUCCCGCCGGCGGCGGCUGCGCUCUAUCCCGCCAUCGCCGGCUGCGCUCCAUCCCGCCGCCACCCGCCCGCCUCCAGUACGCCUCCUCCUCCCCGGCUCCGGCCGGACGCCGCGCGCCCCCGCCGACGCCGCCGCCGCACACCGCACGCCACCGCCGCCCGCGCUUCCGCGCCCCGCCGCCGCCACCGGGCCCUCUCGGCCCCGGCGCCUCUCCCGCCGCCGAAGCAGCAGCACACCGUGGUCCUCGUCCUCCCCGGAUCCGCCGCCGGACCUGCCUGCCCCUGCUUCUUGCCGCCGGAGACCAACAGGAUCCGGCACCCCAAGUCAGGCCGCGCGACGCGCUGCACCUCCAAGCCAGGGAAAGACGCCAUCUGCAGCAGGCUACCGGCGUCGGGGCGAGCUCCAUGAACUUGGCGCCGCAGGCCCGCGCCAUCUCCAGCGGCCGCAAGCCUCCUUGUCCGACGACCUGUACCCCUUCCAAGAAACCGCGCCAGUCCUUCGUCGUACCGCUUCCCCGACAGACAGCUCCUCCACCAAGUACCAGCGGCGGCCUGCCUCCAUUUCCCAACAACUCUCCCGGCGGCUUCCAGCAUACCAAUACUAGAGGGAUCAACAAUCAAAGCACCAUGAAGGCCUUGAUGCCAAGCAUCUCCGAGCUGGCCCGCCUACCAUCUCUGCCAGGGUACCAAGUCUCGAUGUCAUCCUUCGGCCAUGCCGCUGACGGGGACACUCAAAGCACCUCCUCAACACCAGCACUCGACUAUGAGGCCACCGUGGACGACUUCAGUGCACCCAACCUCUUUGACUGGACCCCCACCUCGGACUCCACCCAGGAUUCAAUACCCCUAGAAGGUUGUCAAUCUUAAGACACAAGAAAUUGAGACGGGGGUGGAUGUGCUGACGCAACAUCAAGGCAGUGGAAGCAAGAGAGGUGGCAAUUACCACCAUGAUGAGGAUAUCCAGCUUUGCAGAUCUUGGAGCGACAUCACAACCGAUCCCAUCACUGCAAAUGAUCAGCCGAGCAAGUCGUAUUGGGCAAGGAUCGCUGACCACUUCCAUGACAACAAAUGUUUUGAGUCUAAUAGGACUGUUGCUUCGCUCGAGAAAAGAAUGGGAGGCAUACUGAAGGAUUGCAUGAGAUUUCAAGGAUUCUAUGACGAGAUCAGCGUCGACAUCCAAGUGGUAUUCCUUACACUGAGCAUAUAAAAGAAGCUCAAGCUCUAUAUGCUCGAUGUGACUCCAAAAACAAGUCCUUCGCCUUCAUCCACUGCUGGUUGGAGGUUAGGCACACCGAGAAGUUUCUAUCUCUGCAAGAGGCCAUGAAGCAAUCCAAGAGGCCAAGCACAUCAGAUAAGCAUGCUACACCGGCUGAAGCUGAAGAAAAUGAAGGAGGUCAAGACUUGACACCUGCCAAGCAAGAUCGACCUCCGGGUCGAAAACAGUCGAAGGAGAAACUGAAGAGGAAUGGACGAGGAGUUGAUGAGUGCAUAGAGGUCUGGGGCAUCUUUGUUCAGAUGAAGGUGGAAGAAGCAAAACAAAAAGAAGAAAGAUGGAAAGAAUCAACCAGGCUUGCAGAGAGGAAGAUUGAAGAAAGUUCCGGGAUUGAGGAGAAGAAGCUUGAAGAAUCUACCAGGCUUGAGGAGAAGAGGCUCGAGAUAGAGGAGCGGCGGUUGAUGUGGGAGCAAGAGCAAAAGAUUAUGUUCUGUGAUCUCAGCUCGAUGGACGAGAGUCAGAGAGCCAACGUUCGAGUGAUGAGGGCACAGGUUGCAGCGGCAAAGGUUGCCUCACUCAAUUCGGGGGCAAGCGAGCAUGCCAGCGGGGCGGCUGGGGAUGACGCAAGCUCCGCGUGAUACUUUCCCGAGGUUAUGCUGACAGGCUGAGCUGAGCAAUAAAUUAAGUUUAUUGGACAGGCUGUGGCAAAAAAAAAAGGAUUUAGGCUGAAUAGGUUUUGCAUUUGUGGCUGAAACAUUUCAGAGAUUUAGGUACUAAUGUUUGUAAGCUGAAUGUUUGAGUAUCUCCCAUUUCAGAGAUUUUGUGGUCUGAAUGUAUAUGUGGAUUGUCAACUGAAUGAUCAUGAGCAGAAAGUACUAUUUCUGAAUCUAUUGCCAGUAUUUAUAUUUGCCACUGAAAUUAUUUGUCACCUGAAUGUAAUUUUCUGGAAGGCUGAAUCAAGUACCUGUCUGUGUGAA